GUGCCAGCCGCCGCGGUAAUACGGAAGGUCCGGGCGUUAUCCGGAUUUAUUGGGUUUAAAGGGAGCGCAGGCUGAUUAUUAAGCGUGACGUGAAAUGUAGCCGCUCAACGGCUGAACUGCGUCGCGAACUGGUAGUCUUGCAGUGAGUUCGAUGUUGGCGGAAUUCGUGGUGUAGCGGUGAAAUGCUUAGAUAUCACCGAAGAACUCCGACUUGCCGAAGGCAGCCAACAAGGCCUUUACUGACGCUAAAGCUCGAAGGUGCGGGUAUCGAACAGGAUUAGAUACCCUGGUAGUCCGCACGGUAAACGAUGGAUGCCUGCUGUUUGCGAUAUACUGUGAGCGGCCAAGAGAAAUCGUUAAGCAUCCCACCUGGGGAGUACGCCGGCAACGGUGAAACUCAAAGGAAUUGACGGGGGCCCGCACAAGCGGAGGGAACAUGUGGUUUAAUUCGAUGAUACGCGAGGAACCUUACCCGGGGCUUGAACUGCAGGAGGAACGAUACAGAGAUGUUGAGGUCCUUCGGACUCCUGUGGAGGUGCUGCAUGGUUGUCGUCAGCUCGUGCCGUGAGGUGUCGGCUUAAGUGCCAUAACGAGCGCAACCCUUUUCGUCAGUUGCCAUCAGGUAAGGCUGGGCACUCUGGCGAUACUGCCACCGUAAAGGUGUGAGGAANGGUGGGGAUGACGUCAAGUCAGCACGGCCCUUACGUCCGGGGCUACACACGUGUUACAAUGGGGAGUACAGAGAGUCGGCCGCACGCAAGUUCGGUCCAAUCAAGAAAGCUCUCCUCAGUUCGGAUUGGGGUCUGCAACCCGACCCCAUGAAGCUGGAUUCGCUAGUAAUCGCGCAUCAGCCAUGGCGCGGUGAAUACGUUCCCGGGCCUUGUACACACCGCCCGU
This 897-nucleotide ribosomal RNA is filed under the name uncultured bacterium. RNAcentral describes it as "bacterial SSU rRNA". It matches the Rfam family "Bacterial small subunit ribosomal RNA", at positions 505 to 1397 of the family's 1533-position model. The record is from RNAcentral.